RNAcentral lists this long non-coding RNA (571 nucleotides) under Mustela putorius furo (domestic ferret). Its description in RNAcentral is "lncRNA (ENSMPUG00000025733.1)". Lineage: Eukaryota; Metazoa; Chordata; Mammalia; Carnivora; Mustelidae. The record is from RNAcentral.
GUUAACAUUCAGAUGCCAUCUGAAAAAUGAAAAUCGUCCUUCCUUUUCACUCCGUGUUUAUCAGGGCAGCAGCUUUGGGAUCUCUUUAGGAUAGGUCAGGCUUAAAACAGCAACACUGUUCAUUUUCUUUAAUAUGUAUACACAUGUGAGUGCCAUUUCUGCAGGACCCUCUGCUAGAGGGAGUUAUGCAAAAGAGUAUUAAAUGUAAUUUUUCUUUUUAAGGAUUUGCAGCCUCGUGACAAUAUGAGCCAAGCAGAUACAAAGACAGAUAUCUGUAAUAAAACGGGAGAGCAGAUGCCAACAGCCAGGGGAAAGGAGUUUCUCCUCAAAUAUUUGGUGACCAUGUGGUUUGGCUGAAGGGAAGAACGUUUAUGAACACAGCAGAAUAUUGGCGUCAGAAUGUCCUAGAUAUCUGAAUCCUAAGGGACUGACCGGGCUGGACAUCAAACCAAGAUUCUGAUAAAAGGAGAUAACAGAGACUGACCAAAGAAGGAAAGGUGCUUUGCUUAGCCUGAGUCAGAUGUACCGAGAGACGCUUAGGAAGCAGCUAACUCAGGAAGUUUUGAGCUCG